UACGUAGGGUGCAAGCGUUGUCCGGAAUUAUUGGGCGUAAAGAGCUCGUAGGCGGUUUGUUAAGUCCGCUGUGAAAUCCCCGAGCUCAACUUGGGAAUUGCAGUGGAUACUGGCAAGCUGGAGUAUGGUAGAGGAAGGUGGAAUUCCCGGUGUAGCAGUGAAAUGCGUAGAGAUCGGGAGGAACACCAGUGGCGAAGGCGGCCUUCUGGACCAAUACUGACGCUCAUGCACGAAAGCGUGGGGAGCAAACAGG
RNAcentral lists this ribosomal RNA (253 nucleotides) under uncultured bacterium. Its description in RNAcentral is "partial 16S ribosomal RNA". It matches the Rfam family "Bacterial small subunit ribosomal RNA", at positions 524 to 776 of the family's 1533-position model. The record is from RNAcentral.